RNAcentral lists this long non-coding RNA (6011 nucleotides) under Strigops habroptila (Kakapo). Its description in RNAcentral is "lncRNA (ENSSHBG00005003586.1)". The record is from RNAcentral. Lineage: Eukaryota; Metazoa; Chordata; Aves; Psittaciformes; Psittacidae.
GAAGACUGAAUUUAUUUGAAAUGCUUUGAUAAGAUUUAUUAAAAAAUAUCCCUUGGCAGUUGACAAUCACCACGAUCUACAACAGGAACCCGGCUGGGUAACAUCAGAACAAUUUUUGCCUACAACCAAAGGCGAACACCCAGGAACACUCAAGCAUGGCUUACACACACCUACGGGCAUUAAAAAUGGGAGCAUCAAGGAACACGGUGCAACCACUUGCUGCAGAGAAAACUGCACCACACACGUGUUACACAUGUGCUCUGGUACUUACCACGGUGGUGGAAAAUCCCAAACCUUUUUAAAAUAUGGGGAAAACAACAAAUUGGCACCCUCAGAGAAACCAGACUCCAUGGCUCCACGAUUCCAGGAGGACAAAGCUCUUGGUCUGCUGCAGCCACAGGGGAAACCAGGGAAGGGGGAGCUCCGACACCUGGUUGGACCUGCACAGGAGCAUCCUGCUGCACAGCCCCAUCACCAGCACACACGAUGAGAAGGGCUGGAGCUGCAGUAGGUGGCAGCAGCCGGUCUCUGGUCUCAGUGGGCACAGUGGAGUGCCUGGGCACAGAUCCUGAGGGAACCACAAAAUCCUCCAGGUCAAAUCCUAACUUUGAAGGGCUCAGGGCUUCACUAGGUUAUUUCCUCCCUGCCUCAGUGAAAGCCAAUGAAUACACAGUGGGAUACUUAAGAGAGACCCCAAGGGAGGCAGGGGUGUCUGGGAGACAGACAGACAGACGUGCUGAGCUGCCUGCAGCAGUCCAACACCUUCAGCUCUUCUGCAUGGACAGAUUCUGAUUUUGAAAGUGUAACGGCUCCUCUUCUCGGAAAGCCGCUCCUGGUCAGUCAUUUCUUGUCCUGUGGGCUCAUACUCCAGAACAACAAUGCCUCACCCCCACUUUCCAAGCAGAUUAAGAGAACCCAAGCAAGACACUGCUAUUCCAGAACCAACCACCAGUGCUCUCUGCUAAAGAAAAAACCAACUAUUUUAAAACUCAUCCCCAAUUUUGGCCAAAGCAAGGUCCCCACAUGGAAAAGCUCCUGCCAAGACCUCCCGCCGUGACCAGCAGCGACCACACGAUGGCUGCAGAGAUGCUGCUGGCCGAGCGGUGGCGCGGCCCCUUCCCAACACUUCAGAACAGUAUUAAAAUGAGGAAAAAUUAGGAAGGAGUUAUCUCCUGCCUAAUUUAGGAAGGAUUCCCCACCAGCAUUGGGAACACAAAGGUCAUUUGCUGCCAACCAACACAUCAAAGUGCAGCAAGUCUAUGUGACAAACUCCUUUUGUGUUUGAAAUGCCUUCUAAGUAUGCACCUCAUCAUAAUUUAACUUGGUGGUUUCAUGAUUUAUCAAAGAAACAUUGUAAAAAGCCAGAUCCAAAGCAAAGGCCUGAAAAAAACUUCUCUUCCAGACUAUUACUCUUUGACACAACGUGCAAACGGCCCAGGGCUGCGUUUGAAGUCGUGCCGGAGCAAAAAUAAGAAAGCGAACCAAUUUCAGGUUGACAUAGUGUAUUGUGAAUUACGUUCUCAGCUUUUCUACAGCUACGAUAGCGUGAAAUGAUCUGCCAUACAGUAAAACAGUUUAAUAUACAAUUGAUUACAGAGCUGUAGUAAGGAGUCGGAGAUAAUACGCGGUUUAUCUAUAUACAUAUAUAGCUUAAUAUUUCACAGAUACAACUUUUUCCCAUUUCGGUUUUGUCAACGAAGUGGAGGCAGAGUAUUUACAGGGAAGCCGCUGCAAGGAAGCCCCGUCCCCAGCAAAGCCCCGGCAGAAGCUGCCGCGUCCCCCAGCGGUGUGUGUAAACAGAGCGGGUCUCUCCUUUUGCAGGAAGGGAUGGGACAAGGUGGGGGGACACAGGCUUCGCUGGGGCAGGAGAGAAGGAAAACAGAGAUGUUGUGAGGAAACCAUCCCCAGCUAACCCGGAGAUUUCCAAAUGGUUUAAUUUGCCUUUUUAUUUCCUUUUAACUGGAAACUGCUCUCAAGUAAUGUUGCAACUCAUAAUUCAAUCACAUUCUCAGUUAACACUUUCUAUACCAUCUCCAUGUGCUUAUGCAAGGUCGGGCAGUGCUGAAGCCUUGGGCAAUACUGGCAAGGCAGCUUUGAAAGGAAGCAGGGGGUGGUUGGGAGUCCCGGCCCAGUGCUGCUGCCCAGCUGACAGCCCCUCGGAGAACCAAAGCCAACCCUGGAUUGAGUUUCUUGCUUCACGGAGAGUUUCUCACAGGCAACUGGAUACUGCAGCUCGACACUCAGUGACUGCUCGUGUAGGGUCAGGUGUUGGUGUGAUGCUGUAUAAACCACAGCAGGACAGACCCAGACCUGAGCCAAACCAUCCACAUGGCCUGGCCACAGUUAGACAUGCAUGAUGCCUAGUGCACAGUUUUAAUAACCAGCUGAGAUUUGCUGAUGUGGAAACACAAAACGCAACCAAGAGACUGGGAGGGAAGACGUAUUGACAAAGGCAUCUGACUGCCACCAGGCUGGCCGGAAAGUGGCUCAGCCAAGCAGGGCAGUGGGAUGCUGCUCCUGAAGCAGAGCUCCCAGACCUCAUCCACCUCACCAGCUCAGGGGGACUUGGAGCCCACUGCUGCCCAGCACUGCUGUGGGACCGACAUGGCGGCUUCUCAGUGUCCAGCUCUCUUUCCCAACUCACCCAGCUUUCCUGUCAUCUCCAUCCCUGCUUUCUCCAUAUCAAUGCCACAGGACUGAAAGAGCCAGGGGGUGGGAAAGGAGGAAUCCAGCCCCUGCUGCCAGCAAAGAAGGCAUUUUACGCCCAGUUAAAAAUACUGUUUCUUUGAAAGAAGGAGCUUUCCCAAGCAAUGCGAUAUAAAAAGCUAUCACGCCAGCCCUGGGGAAGCGAGGUGACUUUCCUGAGAGCACAAGGGGGAGCCUCUCUACCUGCUCCUGGGUAAUUCAGUGAGGGGGGCCAAGGUCCUUAUCAUCUUUGGAUACUGCCGCCACCUCCUCGCACAGAGGAGACACCCACCAUUGAGGAGAAUUCUCAGCACAAGAUCAAAACUGGGUUUUGUCUCUCAGCAGAUGUUUGGGGUUGUUAAGGCUCUUGGCUUUAAAGAGUUUAUUACUUUGGAAUUUUAAAGCUGUACUCGCAGUAGAGUAUAACAAGUCUCUGUCUCAGCACCUCUCUCUCUUUUAACAUGAUCUCUGAAAACUAGAAGAAAUUAAAUUGGGGAGAGGGUUACUCUGGCAACUAUGCAAUCCUGAACUACUGCACAUGAAGAGAAACAGACAGUGCUGCUGGGACCGUGCCGGCACCUGCGCAAUGGCCAAAUCCUGGUUCAUGCAGUUAUGUGGAGCAGACCACUGCAUCCAAAGCCAGGUUGGACAAAGCCUCAGGGGACAUGGUCCAGUGUGAAGUGUCCCUGGCCAUGGCAGGGGGGUUGGAACUAGAUGAUCUUAAGGUCCUUUCCAACCCAAACCAUUCUAUGAUUCUACAAUACUGCAGCCCCCUCAGACAAUUUCUAGGAGCAGCAGCACAAUGGAGUUAUACAGCUGAUAUUAGAAGUAAAUGACAAAUGAAGCUGUGGUCUCACUCAAAUAAAGGUAAAGUUUCAAAGUCGCUAAAGAGGCACUCUCCUGCAGGGCAUACCUGCAGAUGAAUCACAUGCUGCAUUCUUCACUGCCCUGAGCUUAAAUCCUUCAACAACGAAUCAAUACAAACCAUCUUUCAACUGCAAAAUAAUAUUUAGCCAAUGCAUGAAGCUAGAAGCAAGUCAAGAUGUGAGUGGCUGAGGCAGGAAAAGAAGGAAAAACUUGAGAAAGUCACUUUCUUUUUUUGACUUAUCCAAAAGAGGAUUUGAGAACUGAUGCUCAAAGCAGGGACAUGCAUAUUGCUGCUCCUCGCCAACAACAAACUGGUCAGAGCACCACUGGUUAGAGCUGAAACUUAAAAUCUUAGUAACUGUUCCCAGCCACAGCCUUCUCUGCAGCUCUUCAGAUUCAGUGAACGCUGCAACUUCUGGACAUUACGAUACACACUGCUGCAGUGAGCCAGACAAAAGGGAGAGAAUAGAACAAACCAUGGGAAGGCCAAGAGGGGAGAAGCUGACAGCUUCUUUCCAGAAGUAUUCACCAUCACACUGCAACCGACAGCCCUCCUGCUGCAUUGCUGCUGACCCUCGUCUUCCACCUCUCCAGUUUCCUUUACAUUUUGGGUAUAAUCUAGCAGAAAGUGGCCCAACUUCUUGACAGGGCUCCACACAAUCCUACCACCACCACCAGUGGAGAACAGGCUCAGCAACUGCAAGCAGUAAUUAAAGUUUUUCCCUUCAAUGUUGCUCUCCUACAAAUCAAAACAAGGACUGCUACAGCCUGUAUAGAGAACUCAAAAGGAAAAACCCCAUUGGAACAGAUGACUUUCCUGCCCAAACCAGUGUUCCACAUACUGCUUGCGAAGUCUCAGGGAUACUCCAAGACCUCCACUGGGUUUUCACAGCUGCCUGGGCAUCGAGAUGAUAAGAGGGCUGGAGCACCUCCCAUAUGAAGACAGGCUGAGAGAGUUGGGGCUGUUCAGCCUGGAGAAGAGAAGCUGCGUGGAGACCUCAGAGCAGCCUUCCAGUGUCUGAAGGGGGUCUACAAGGAUGCUGGGGAGGGACUCUUCCUUAGGGACUGUAGUGGUAGGACAAGGGGUAAUGGGUUCAAACUUAAACAGGGGAAGUUUAGCUUAGAUAUAAGGAAGAAGUUCUUUACAGUGAGGGUGGUGAAGCACUGGAAUGGGUUGCCCAGGGAGGUUGUGGAUGCUCCAUCCCUGGCGGUGUUCAAGGCCAGGUUGGACAGAACCUUGAGCCACAUGGUUUAGGGCAAGGUGUCCCUGCCCAUGGCAGGGGGGUUGGAACUAGAUGAUCUUAAGGUCCUUUCCAACCCUUACGAUUCUAUGAUUCUAUGUAAGCAUCACAGCACUGGGGAUCCCUGCACCUCCACCUUAACUGUUUCCCUUCCCACAUGAAUAUAAUUCUGUUUUUACAGUCAAAGCACUCCUGCGACAUUUUCAGUAACUGGCAUAGUCAUAUUGGUAACUAACUACUGCGUUUGUAGCAGUUCUGUAAUAUUUAACUAAAGCAGGACUUAAAGAAAUGCUGCUUCAGCAAAUCACAACACUGACAGCAAACACUGGAGUCUAUUUCUUCCUCUCUUCUGCUUUUGCACGUUUGCUAAAACUCAGGGUAAUAAUACUUCUUUUCCACUUCUGGUGUCAUGAAAAAUGAUUUUUUUUUUUCACAGAAUUCUGAAGUUUUACUACGGGGAUGUGCCUGAUGCUCUUCUGUAUCUUCUGCCAAGCAGCUUAACAACAACACAAGGAGAAAGCUGCAGCUGUGACCAAACGAAUGGACCAAGACAUCAAAGCAAACGUACUCUUCCCAUUUGUAUUAGGAAACACAGAGAGGCAAACAGCAGCAAAAGCAGCAUCUGACGCCCUGACCUGCCAGCAGCAGAGUUGAAAUGCUGCUGUGCAACGCAGAAGACACAGUUUAGCAAAGGUGAGGAGCAGGGAGGCAAGAACCACUCAAGCACCCCAUCCAGACUGAGCAAACAAGACCACAGUAGGGAAGAAGGGAGAAAACAAACAGUCUCUAAAUUUGGCAAACUGCCUCCCUGCCCAAGCUGCACAGUUGAUGGCAUAAAGUUGAUUGCUUUACAAAGAGCUGAUCAUAUUAUACCCAACCUCAGGCGCUUGCAGCCUCUCAUGAUGUUGCAAAAUAACAACAGGGAGUUAACAACCGCUCCUUUGCAACUCUCUUUUUUGUUGCAUUCAGAAUUACAGUUUUAGAAAUAGGUUAGAGUAGCAGUUUCAAAAUUCUAGAUAGCCUAAAACCAUGGCUCUUCAAUCAAGAAUAAACUCUCCUCUAGCUAAAAGCUGGUAUGGGUACUGUGUUUGGUUUAUAGCUCCUUUCAUUUUUACUCUGGGCACCCCCUUUCUGUGUUUUAGCCCUGAAGUAAGAGUAUCCAAACACUUUUUUUUUUGGCGAAGCCCUUGGGGAGUCCAUCCUCUCCCCACCUCAUUU